CCUACGGGUGGCAGCAGUGAGGAAUAUUGGUCAAUGGGAGAGAUCCUGAACCAGCCAAGCCGCGUGAGGGAAGACGGCCCUAUGGGUUGUAAACCUCUUUUGUCGGAGAACAAAACCCGGGACGUGUCCCGGACUGCGUGUAUCCGAAGAAAAAGCAUCGGCUAACUCCGUGCCAGCAGCCGCGGUAAUACGGAGGAUGCGAGCGUUAUCCGGCUUUAUUGGGUUUAAAGGGUGCGUGGGCGGUCAGUUAAGUCUGUGGUAAACUUGGGGGGCUAAACCGCAUCGAGCCGUUGAAACUGGCAGACGUGAGUUCGCGAGAGGUACGCGGAAUGAGGGGUGGAGCGGUGAAAGGCAUAGAUAUCGCGCAGAACUCCGAUUGCGAAGGCAGCGGACCGGCGGCAGACUGACGCUGAGGCACGAAAGCGUGGGGAUCGAACAGGAUUAGAUACCCCAGUAGUC
RNAcentral lists this ribosomal RNA (459 nucleotides) under uncultured bacterium. Its description in RNAcentral is "partial 16S ribosomal RNA". It matches the Rfam family "Bacterial small subunit ribosomal RNA", at positions 338 to 795 of the family's 1533-position model. The record is from RNAcentral.